CCAUUCAAUUUUUGCAUUAGAUGGAAUUGGUUAUGAAACUUAUUAUUAGUCCCUUAAUGUUGAUAUUGUUUAAUGUUUUUCAUAGAUUGUUAUUUGAUUUCAGAGAAAGGUAUAAAAGCAUAUGAAUAAUAAGAUAUUUGAUUUUCAUAAUUCAUAAGAUUUAGAUUUCAAUAAGCUAUUCAAUUCUGAAUAAAAUAAAACAAUACAAAAGGGAGUCCUC
Molecule: long non-coding RNA, 220 nt
Filed under: Vigna radiata
Lineage: Eukaryota; Viridiplantae; Streptophyta; Magnoliopsida; Fabales; Fabaceae
Description: long non-coding RNA (VRAD_LNC011707)
Source: RNAcentral